GGUCUGGAGGAUUAUGGCAUUCG
RNAcentral lists this non-coding RNA (23 nucleotides) under Arabidopsis thaliana (thale cress). Lineage: Eukaryota; Viridiplantae; Streptophyta; Magnoliopsida; Brassicales; Brassicaceae. The record is from RNAcentral.